Molecule: ribosomal RNA, 506 nt
Filed under: uncultured bacterium
Lineage: Bacteria
Description: partial 16S ribosomal RNA
Rfam family: Bacterial small subunit ribosomal RNA
Source: RNAcentral
GAUGAACGCUAGCGGCAGGCCUAACACAUGCAAGUCGAAGGGCAGCACAUAAAGUGGUUUACUACUUUUGGUGGCGACCGGCGGACGGGUGCGUAACGCGUAUGCAACCUGCCUCCAACCGGGGGAUAACGGAGAGAAAUUUCCACUAAUACUCCAUAAUAUCAGACUCGGCAUCGGUUUUGGGUGAAAAAUCCGGUGGUUGGAGCUGGGCAUGCGUUGUAUUAGAUAGUUGGUGAGGUAACGGCUCACCAAGUCAACGAUACAUAGGGGGACUGAGAGGUUAGCCCCCCACACUGGUACUGAGACACGGACCAGACUCCUACGGGAGGCAGCAGUGAGGAAUAUUGGUCAAUGGGGGCAACCCUGAACCAGCCAUGCCGCGUGCAGGAAGACGGCUCUAUGAGUUGUAAACUGCUUUUACAAGGGGAUAAAUCGGUGUACGUGUACACCGUUGAAGGUACCUUGGGAAUAAGGAUCGGCUAACUCCGUGCCAGCCGCCGCGGUAA